CCAUCUAAGAUAUAAAAUUACAAGUUUGACCAAAUGUGCCAGUUGUCCACUUAUUUUCUCUCAGCUCUGAAUUCAUCCUUUCCUGUCUGCUCUGCAGAAAUGAACUUGGACCCUUUAAACAUUUUUCCUUUGCUAGUUGGCAUGAUGUUAGAUCGACAUUGUAAGAGGAGAUUUUCCUCUUCUUUCCAAGAGUCUUGUGUGCUCCUCUUGGCAGGCUUCUGUACUGCAACACAGCUUCUCCAGUGUCCAGAUCCAGAACCCGUGCAGUUUGCUCCAUUGUCAGGCUCCUGAAGUGCACAGCAGUCAGCAGCACCCAGUAUCUUCCACCAGUACCUCCACAAGGCAGUAUUAUAGCAGAGUGAUUCGGAUGAGACAGAUUUCUACCACAGCAACUUCUCUUCAUUCAGUGAGCCACAGCCAUGCCCCCUCAAACAGGGUCUGGAUCUUAAUCCCAGAGGCCCUGGAUGUUCUAUCUUAACCCCAGGGGUUGAUGCUCCUUUUAUCUGUUAUUCUUAUAUUCCUUAGAGUUCUCUUUACUUUUUACUAGCCAAUCCUCAUUGCUCCAAAACCCUGUUAUAGCUAGCAGUUCUUCGUAUUAAUCUUUCCUUGUUCAAAUUACAUGUGAUUUCUCUAUUCUAAUCAAACACUGACUGAUAGAUCAAAUUUCAGGCAAUUAAUCAAAUUGAGAAAAUUAUAGGGCAUUAUGUCUAAUUUGUUAUUUUAUAUAUUAGCAAACACAUAAGAUCUGAUAAUCAGAAAGUUCAGAGCGCUAAACCAAAGUCUCUAAAGAAUGGAAGGAAUCAGUUCACAGGAUAUAUGCUUGUUAAUGCUACUCCCAUUUGGGGGAAGUAUAAUUUUCUCCAGUAACCAUGAAAAAUAAGAGAUCACUUUGUUUCUUCUGAUGAUUUAUUUUUAUUUUAAAAGGGAAAUGAAAAUCUGAAAAAUAUAAAAGUUUAAGAAGACAAAGUAGAAACAGUCAAUGGCUCCAUUUCUCUGGCAAACUAAUCAACCAAACUGUUCUAUCUACAUUUGACGGGAAACCCAAAAUUUCAGUGAUCCCACACUAAUGUUCACAUUGUUUUUCUGCUAUAUAGGAACACUUUUAACAUGUUCCCUCUGUCUCACUGUUUGUCAUGUACUCUCUGUAGACUACUUUGCCAACAUUAAAAUGAAAUGUUCAGCAUCAAGCUCAUCAUUCCUGUCUCACUUCACUCCGAAAUCUGCUAGCCACAGAGUUAAAAGGACAGGAUUAAGAGUCAUUAGACACAGUAUUAAGGAGAAUUAAAGGGCCUGUUCAAGAGGCAUAACAUCUGCUCCUCAAAUUCCUGCCUAAACAACGAAGAUUCCGAUCAAAGAGAAGAGAGGGAAAGCCAAUCUAACCAGUAAACCGGAGUCAUGAGGAAGUGAAUGCUCUCUCAGGGAGUAACUCUGACACCAGAGGAAGGCUUAGUGACAUUGCACAAUUGUUUCUGUGAAGUCAUUCAUGGGGCAAGUGGGAGUAUAUGAGUAGAAGUGGAAGGGAGUGGGAAGGUGAAGAUUGAGGAUCCUUUUAAGUAGUUUUUGCUCAGCUAGCAAAACAAGCUGGGACAUGCAAGACAGAUAAACACAGCUGUUUGGGGCUGUCACUUGGGGCUCAGGAGCCAAGGUGUCCUGCUGUAGUGAAAAGUGCACCGGAAUUAAAUAGCUAGGCUUCUAAGCCCUACCACAGAGAGUCAACAGACAAACUGCCCAGGGAAAAGUUAUGACCUCAGGCAAAGUGAAUUUCUACAGCUAAGGCAGAUCCUGAAGAAGCUCACAAAUAAAGGCUGCAUACUCACACAUUCCCUGAAGCUUGACAGUGCCAGCCACCAUACUGUGAGGGAGCUGAAGUAAGCCCACAUGAGGAAGAAUUGAGGUCCCAAGCCAACAGCUGCAGCUAAGAUCCAAGCUCUCAACCAGUACCAGUUCAUCCGUUAUGCACACUAAGAUAUGGAAGCUAAAAGAGGACUAAGAGGAUUCUGGGGAUAUUACAAGAUAUUGCAGACUAUCUUGUUUUCCUGGAAAAGGAUUUUACCUCAGUCGACUGAAUUACUUUUUUCACUGUGUCUUGCCACUCUUCGUGCAUGCAUCAAAGACCCUAAUAUGACUUCUGGUGGCCUGGGACUCCUUGGGAAAACAGAAAAGGGGCCACAAAUCCCAUUUUGGGAACAAUCUGUUUUACUCAUGGAACCCCUGGAAUUAGAGAAACCAUCAAGCUUUAAAUGGUGUGGCAAAAGGAGCUGAAAAUUAAACUGACCUUCUACUGCAUACCCUUAAAUUGACCCAGGAGGAGCCCUAGCUGCUAUUCCCAUGCCACGCCCCUCUCCAGCAGGAAGUAGCCAGAGUAAGUCGACGCCCAAUUCCCCGUAACAGCAGUUAGGAAUUUCAUUCCUGAGGGGGGUGUUUGUUAUAGGAGAUAAAAAUAAAUUAUUUGGGUAGACAGAGUAAAGAGAGUCCCCGGCAGAAUACUUUCCUUCUAACAAAAAGCAGCUCAGAAAUGGCUCCCUUUCUAACCUUGUGAAGUUCAAAGAAAUCAUUUCUCUU
This 2562-nucleotide long non-coding RNA is filed under the name Homo sapiens (human). RNAcentral describes it as "HSALNT0328545". Lineage: Eukaryota; Metazoa; Chordata; Mammalia; Primates; Hominidae. The record is from RNAcentral.